RNAcentral lists this long non-coding RNA (606 nucleotides) under Pan troglodytes (chimpanzee). RNAcentral's name for it is "long non-coding RNA NONPTRT017317". Lineage: Eukaryota; Metazoa; Chordata; Mammalia; Primates; Hominidae. The record is from RNAcentral.
GAAGGAAGCGCCCCCCUUGACACUCUCGCUGGUGAAGCCAAGCGGGAGGGGAGCUGCGCCCUCCCUGACCUCCCAGGCUGCGGCUCAGGUGGCCAACCAGGCCCUGAUCCGGGGUGACUGGAACCGGGGCGGUGGGGUGCGGGUGGCCAGCGCACAACAGGUAAGCCCGGCCCAGUCUGCCCCCAUCCCCUCAUCCUCCUUUCCCCUUUCCCCCUGCUUUUCCCUCCCUUCCCCAUGCUUCCCAUUGCCCCUCCAAUGUCCAGUUCAAAUCUCUCGAGGACCUCAAGGCCUCCCCUCCACUGCACCCCCUCUGAUGGCCCCUUUAUGUGACCCUCAACUGUACACAGGUCCCUCCCCGGCUUCCUCCGGGGGCCCGGCCCGGCCGGAGGAUGUUCAGCACCUCUGCCUUGCAGGGUGCCCAGGGGGGUGCCAGGGCUUUGCUUGGAGGCUACUCCCAAGCCUACGGGACUGUCUGCCACUCUGCACUGGGCCACCUGCCCCUGCUGGAGGGGCACCAUGUGUGAGCCGCCCUACUCCCUUCACCUGGCCCUCUGUUCCUGCCCCAGCCCCUUCCCCAAAUCCCUCUCCAAUCUCCUGCACCCCUUA